CUAUUUUUACUGAGACAACUCUUGAUUUGGAAUGUAAGUUCUGGAACAAGAGGGAGCUGUAAUAAUUAAGCUUCCUGGCCUGCUGAGAAGCUCAAGUUGUUUCCCAUAGUUCUUCCCUGGCUUGAGCUGCCUGAGUUUACUGAUUGAUUGAAAGGUUGCAGGCUGUCAUUGCCAGUGCUUUGCAAGUCGGGUGGCCAUGACGGGAGGCAGACAAAAGCUGUGGCUUUUUCUUUUUUCCCUUUGCGGCAUAGGCUUAUCUCUUACAGUUCAUGUUGUCUUGGCUGCUAAGAGCGUCAUAUGUGAGACCCAAACACACAGUGACAUACACCUGCUCGGGCACCUGUUUCAUUUUUGGCAUUGAGGAGCUGGGAUGUUGUUGCUUUGUAUAUAGACAGCAGCAAAUAAAACUUGCAAGAGGAGCUGCUCCUUUAAGGCCAAGAGAAUUUCGAACUUCAGUUCUCUUAGAGUUUGAAUGGUGAAGAUAUUGAAUGGUGAAGAUAGCUGGAUUUAAGCUAUAUCCCUUUGAGGGCAGGACCUGGUAGUAGACCUAGCAUGUGAUAUCAGUCAGCACUGCUUUCCCUUUGAUUUUAUCGUAAGCCCUACCACAAAGUGGAUCUGUCUGGGUUUGGGGUUUUAAUAGAAUAUGGCAUGAGAAAGCAGAGUUUAUUGCUAUUUGUCAUGCUGCUAGCCGUUAUACUAUCGUGGUGCUUUAAAAAGAAGAAAGCUGACCUGUGGUCUUUUCUUAACAUGUUAUAGAUAGGAAAAAUAUCUAAAAACAAAAAGAAAAAACUGAAAAAGAAACAGAAGAGGCAGGCUGAGUUAUUGGAGAAGCGCCUGCAGGAGAUAGAAGAAUUGGAACGAGAAGCUGAAAGGAAAAUAAUAGAAGAAAACAUCACCUCAGCUGCACCUUCCAAUGACCAGGAUGGCGAAUACUGCCCAGAGGUGAAACUAAAAACAACAGGAUUAGAGGAGGCAGCCGAGGCAGAGACUGCAAAGGACAAUGGUGAAGCUGAGGACCAGGAAGAGAAAGAAGACACUGAGAAAGAAAACAUUGAAAAAGAUGAAGAUGAUGUAGAUCAGGAACUUGCGAACAUAGACCCUACGUGGAUAGAAUCACCUAAAACCAAUGGCCAUAUUGAGAAUGGCCCAUUCUCACUGGAGCAGCAACUGGACGAUGAAGAGGAUGAUGAAGAAGACUGCCCAAAUCCUGAGGAAUAUAAUCUUGAUGAGCCAAAUGCAGAAAGUGAUUACACAUAUAGCAGCUCCUAUGAACAAUUCAAUGGUGAAUUGCCAAAUGGACGACAUAAAAUUCCUGAGUCACAGUUCCCAGAGUUUUCCACCUCGUUGUUCUCUGGAUCCUUAGAACCUGUGGCCUGUGGCUCUGUGCUUUCUGAGGGAUCACCACUUACUGAGCAAGAGGAGAGCAGUCCAUUCCAUGACAGAAGCAGGACGGUUUCAGCCUCCAGUACUGGGGAUUUGCCAAAAGCAAAAACCCGGGCAGCUGACUUGUUGGUGAAUCCCCUGGAUCCACGGAAUGCAGAUAAAAUUAGAGUAAAAAUUGCUGACCUGGGAAAUGCUUGUUGGGUGCAUAAACACUUCACGGAAGACAUCCAGACGCGUCAGUACCGCUCCAUAGAGGUUUUAAUAGGAGCAGGGUACAGCACCCCUGCGGACAUCUGGAGCACGGCGUGUAUGGCAUUUGAGCUGGCAACGGGAGAUUAUUUGUUUGAACCACAUUCUGGGGAAGACUAUUCCAGAGACGAAGACCACAUAGCCCACAUCAUAGAGCUGCUAGGCAGUAUUCCAAGGCACUUUGCUCUAUCUGGAAAAUAUUCUCGGGAAUUCUUCAAUCGCAGAGGAGAACUGCGACACAUCACCAAGCUGAAGCCCUGGAGCCUCUUUGAUGUACUUGUGGAAAAGUAUGGCUGGCCCCAUGAAGAUGCUGCACAAUUUACAGAUUUCCUGAUCCCGAUGUUAGAAAUGGUUCCAGAAAAACGAGCCUCAGCUGGCGAAUGCCUUCGGCAUCCUUGGUUGAAUUCUUAGCAAAUUCUACCAAUAUUGCAUUCUGAGCUAGCAAAUGUUCCCAGUACAUUGGACCUAAACGGUGACUCUCAUUCUUUAACAGGAUUACAAGUGAGCUGGCUUCAUCCUCAGACCUUUAUUUUGCUUUGAGGUACUGUUGUUUGACAUUUUGCUUUUUGUGCACUGUGAUCCUGGGGAAGGGUAGUCUUUUGUCUUCAGCUAAGUAGUUUACUGACCAUUUUCUUCUGGAAACAAUAACAUGUCUCUAAGCAUUGUUUCUUGUGUUGUGUGACAUUCAAAUGUCAUUUUUUUGAAUGAAAAAUACUUUCCCCUUUGUGUUUUGGCAGGUUUUGUAACUAUUUAUGAAGAAAUAUUUUAGCUGAGUACUAUAUAAUUUACAAUCUUAAGAAAUUAUCAAGUUGGAACCAAGAAAUAGCAAGGAAAUGUACAAUUUUAUCUUCUGGCAAAGGGACAUCAUUCCUGUAUUAUAGUGUAUGUAAAUGCACCUGUAAAUGUUACUUUCCAUUAAAUAUGGGAGGGGGACUCAAAUUUCAGAAAAGCU
This 2584-nucleotide small RNA is filed under the name Pongo abelii (Sumatran orangutan). RNAcentral's name for it is "retained intron". The record is from RNAcentral. Lineage: Eukaryota; Metazoa; Chordata; Mammalia; Primates; Hominidae.